UCGGCUCCGGUUCACGCCUCCGCACCCCGCGAAUGCGACCCGGCGCC
This is a non-coding RNA of Streptomyces collinus Tu 365, 47 nucleotides long. NCBI's taxonomy places the organism in Bacteria, Bacillati, Actinomycetota, Actinomycetes, Kitasatosporales, Streptomycetaceae. The record is from Rfam.